GUUUGAUCAUGGCUCAGAUUGAACGCUGGCGGCAGGCCUAACACAUGCAAGUCGAGCGGUAGAGAGAAGCUUGCUUCUCUUGAGAGCGGCGGACGGGUGAGUAAUGCCUAGGAAUCUGCCUGGUAGUGGGGGAUAACGUUCGGAAACGGACGCUAAUACCGCAUACGUCCUACGGGAGAAAGCAGGGGACCUUCGGGCCUUGCGCUAUCAGAUGAGCCUAGGUCGGAUUAGCUAGUUGGUGAGGUAAUGGCUCACCAAGGCGACGAUCCGUAACUGGUCUGAGAGGAUGACCAGCCACACUGGAACUGAGACACGGUCCAGACUCCUACGGGAGGCAGCAGUGGGGAAUAUUGCACAAUGGGCGCAAGCCUGAUGCAGCCAUGCCGCGUGUAUGAAGAAGGCCUUAGGGUUGUAAAGUACUUUUGUUAGGGAAGAAAAGGCAUUUGCUAAUACCAGAUGCUGUUGACGGUACCUAAAGAAUAAGCACCGGCUAACUACGUGCCAGCAGCCGCGGUAAUACGUAGGGUGCGAGCGUUAAUCGGAAUUACUGGGCGUAAAGCGAGCGCAGACGGUUACUUAAGCAAGAUGUGAAAUCCCCGAGCUCAACUUGGGAACUGCGUUUUGAACUGGGUAGCUAGAGUAUGUCAGAGGGGGGUAGAAUUCCACGUGUAGCAGUGAAAUGCGUAGAGAUGUGGAGGAAUACCGAUGGCGAAGGCAGCCAUCUGGCCUAAUACUGACGCUGAGGUACGAAAGCAUGGGGAGCAAACAGGAUUAGAUACCCUGGUAGUCCAUGCCGUAAACGAUGUCUACUAGCCGUUGGGGCCUUUGAGGCUUUAGUGGCGCAGCUAACGCGAUAAGUAGACCGCCUGGGGAGUACGGUCGCAAGAUUAAAACUCAAAGGAAUUGACGGGGACCCGCACAAGCGGUGGAUGAUGUGGAUUAAUUCGAUGCAACGCGAAGAACCUUACCUACUCUUGACAUCCAGAGAAUUUAGCAGAGAUGC
This 1003-nucleotide ribosomal RNA is filed under the name Prorocentrum minimum. RNAcentral's name for it is "partial Bacterial small subunit ribosomal RNA". It matches the Rfam family "Bacterial small subunit ribosomal RNA", at positions 11 to 1009 of the family's 1533-position model. The record is from RNAcentral. Lineage: Eukaryota; Dinophyceae; Prorocentrales; Prorocentraceae.